GGUUAAGCGACUAAGCGUACACGGUGGAUGCCCUGGCAGUCAGAGGCGAUGAAGGACGUGCUAAUCUGCGAUAAGCGUCGGUAAGGUGAUAUGAACCGUUAUAACCGGCGAUUUCCGAAUGGGGAAACCCAGUGUGAUUCGUCACACUAUCAUUAACUGAAUCCAUAGGUUAAUGAGGCGAACCGGGGGAACUGAAACAUCUAAGUACCCCGAGGAAAAGAAAUCAACCGAGAUUCCCCCAGUAGCGGCGAGCGAACGGGGAGCAGCCCAGAGCCUGAAUCAGUGUGUGUGUUAGUGGAAGCGUCUGGAAAGGCGCGCGAUACAGGGUGACAGCCCCGUACACAAAAAUGCACAUGCUGUGAGCUCGAUGAGUAGGGCGGGACACGUGGUAUCCUGUCUGAAUAUGGGGGGACCAUCCUCCAAGGCUAAAUACUCCUGACUGACCGAUAGUGAACCAGUACCGUGAGGGAAAGGCGAAAAGAACCCCGGCGAGGGGAGUGAAAAAGAACCUGAAACCGUGUACGUACAAGCAGUGGGAGCACGCUUAGGCGUGUGACUGCGUACCUUUUGUAUAAUGGGUCAGCGACUUAUAUUCUGUAGCAAGGUUAACCGAAUAGGGGAGCCGAAGGGAAACCGAGUCUUAACUGGGCGUUAAGUUGCAGGGUAUAGACCCGAAACCCGGUGAUCUAGCCAUGGGCAGGUUGAAGGUUGGGUAACACUAACUGGAGGACCGAACCGACUAAUGUUGAAAAAUUAGCGGAUGACUUGUGGCUGGGGGUGAAAGGCCAAUCAAACCGGGAGAUAGCUGGUUCUCCCCGAAAGCUAUUUAGGUAGCGCCUCGUGAAUUCAUCUCCGGGGGUAGAGCACUGUUUCGGCAAGGGGGUCAUCCCGACUUACCAACCCGAUGCAAACUGCGAAUACCGGAGAAUGUUAUCACGGGAGACACACGGCGGGUGCUAACGUCCGUCGUGAAGAGGGAAACAACCCAGACCGCCAGCUAAGGUCCCAAAGUCAUGGUUAAGUGGGAAACGAUGUGGGAAGGCCCAGACAGCCAGGAUGUUGGCUUAGAAGCAGCCAUCAUUUAAAGAAAGCGUAAUAGCUCACUGGUCGAGUCGGCCUGCGCGGAAGAUGUAACGGGGCUAAACCAUGCACCGAAGCUGCGGCAGCGACGCUUAUGCGUUGUUGGGUAGGGGAGCGUUCUGUAAGCCUGCGAAGGUGUGCUGUGAGGCAUGCUGGAGGUAUCAGAAGUGCGAAUGCUGACAUAAGUAACGAUAAAGCGGGUGAAAAGCCCGCUCGCCGGAAGACCAAGGGUUCCUGUCCAACGUUAAUCGGGGCAGGGUGAGUCGACCCCUAAGGCGAGGCCGAAAGGCGUAGUCGAUGGGAAACAGGUUAAUAUUCCUGUACUUGGUGUUACUGCGAAGGGGGGACGGAGAAGGCUAUGUUGGCCGGGCGACGGUUGUCCCGGUUUAAGCGUGUAGGCUGGUUUUCCAGGCAAAUCCGGAAAACUAAGGCUGAGGCGUGAUGACGAGGCACUACGGUGCUGAAGCAACAAAUGCCCUGCUUCCAGGAAAAGCCUCUAAGCAUCAGGUAACAUCAAAUCGUACCCCAAACCGACACAGG
RNAcentral lists this ribosomal RNA (1620 nucleotides) under Escherichia coli. RNAcentral describes it as "partial 23S ribosomal RNA". It matches the Rfam family "Bacterial large subunit ribosomal RNA", at positions 1 to 1663 of the family's 2925-position model. The record is from RNAcentral. Lineage: Bacteria; Pseudomonadati; Pseudomonadota; Gammaproteobacteria; Enterobacterales; Enterobacteriaceae.